AUGGGGGUGAGAGUAGCCAGUGGCAAGGCUCUCGUGCUACUAGUUUCAGUGUUCAUCAUCUCCGCCGGCGGCGGCAUGGUUAUCUCGCCGGCGGCCGCGGAGGAGGUGCACCUGGUGCCGGCGGUGUACGUGUUCGGCGAUUCAACGGUUGACGUGGGGAACCUCAAGUACCUGCCGGGGAACUUCACGCUGCCGUAUCCUUACGGCAUCGACUUCCCGCUGGCGAACUCCUCCAGACCCAACGGAAGGUUCAGCAACGGGUACAACCUUGCCGACUGCAUCUCGAGGCUGUUGGGUUUCGAUAUGAGCCCGCCGGCGUACCUGUCGCUGACGCCGGAGACGAGCGGUUAG
Molecule: ribosomal RNA, 351 nt
Filed under: Triticum aestivum (bread wheat)
Lineage: Eukaryota; Viridiplantae; Streptophyta; Magnoliopsida; Poales; Poaceae
Description: partial small subunit ribosomal RNA
Source: RNAcentral